This is a long non-coding RNA of Astyanax mexicanus (Mexican tetra), 1707 nucleotides long. RefSeq lists it as uncharacterized. The transcript is spliced from 5 exons. Lineage: Eukaryota; Metazoa; Chordata; Actinopteri; Characiformes; Acestrorhamphidae. The record is from RefSeq and is a predicted model, not a curated record.
GGAGACUGGGGUCUUACUCCAGCAGAGACCAGACCCAGCAGAAGUCUGAGUUUAGAGAGUUUUUAGUGGGUAAAAGUAACGAGAGUUUACACACUGUUUUACACACAUUCUUUAUUCAGGACAGGCGUGUUCCCUACCCCGUGUAAAUGUGUGUGUGUGAGAGAGAGCUCUGAGCUUCAGGGAUGCCCUUCCUCUCUCUCUCCGCUUGUCGAGCCUCAUUAAUAGAUUCUCAGUACAGUACAUAGGAAAUGAGUCAGAGGAGCUCAGAGCCCAGUGCGUGGGUGUGGGCGCUAUUAAAACAAGGCCGAGACUCACGGUGACUCAUUCACAUGCUCGGCCCUCUCCGCAGCUCAAAAACAGCGAGCCAGCUGCGGUUCUUUAUCUCCUCCACACUGUUUUACACGCAGGAUCUCAGCGCCAUGGACCUCCACUCCGCGUGUCGGCUCCUGUGUUUAGUCCUCGUGGCCGGGACUCAUUUAAGCGGAGGAAUACACGCGGAGAAAAACCCAUCCUGUCAAUACCAAGAGUUUUACAACAAUGAUCUUGGAGAAUGUAUACCCUGCUCUAUAUGCAUAAAAUAUCCCAAAACCCCAUCAUGUGACACAUGCCCAGCCGUAGUGCCUUCAGACCCUUGGAGGUUGGCAGCCAUCACCAGUUUUUCAGUGCUUGCAGCUUUGGUUGUUUUUGGAUCAUUGCUAAUAGGAGUUCUAGUUCAUCAAUGCAGGUCCAGAAGGACUUUACGUGAGCCAAUUGAGGAAACUACAGGACCACUUUAUCCAGUGUAGGAGCAGCACUAACAAAAUCUGAUGGAACAGAAGAAGACCAGACAACCAAGUUAGUUCAGUCAGUGAAGAGCUGGCUGAUACAUUGAGUGUUCUUUGAGCAUGUAACUCUUCUAAUUUAUUUUGUUGGUAGAUCAAGCUAGAGGUGUUUAAUGCACUCCGGAGUAAGCCUGUCGCACUGUCCCCAUGCUCUCAAAAGCUGCACUGAGACCUCCUCAUUCACUGUGCAGAAGGUGUGAGCAGAGUAGAGGUGCUAUAUGAGUAUUAUCCUCUUCAUGACAGCGAUUGGGUUCCCGAAAAUAGGUCAAUGGAUUGCUUCUGAGCUUCGAGUCGACUUUCUACGGUCACUUUUCUGACAGGCAUUACCCUUUUAGGUGUUACAAUGAGGACCUUUGCUUUUUUUUUUUUUUUUUAUAUCUUUUUAAAACCCCUAUGCACUUAUUUUUAUAGAUGUCCUUUUGUAGAUUUCUUUGUUUUUUAUUUAUAGAGAUUUACCAGUGAAAACUGCCUUAACGUGCCAGGAGAAUAGUGUUUAUGAACAAGGGCUGUACGUUACACAGCAAUACAUUUUGUACAAUAACUAUUUACCUCCAUGUUAGAUUUAUUCUGCCUUAUGGCAUAUUGAAUGUAUUGUGUAACCAAUGUUUUCUAGAUCUGUGAUCUGUUUUAUAUUUGAGUACUAUGCACUGUUACUUAUUGUAGUAUCAACAAUGUUCUGAGACUGACUGGCAAGACCUAUGCCCGUCUAUGGUAUUAAAGUUGUAGGACAGUUCACACUCUACAAGGAUGCCAGUGGGAAAAAAAACAUGAAUCUGAUUAAGACUGCCACAGGUGCAAUUAGCCAGUUAAAGAGGUGGAUGUGGCCACAGAAACGUCUAAAAUCCACUGAAUUCCUAAUAAAGACAUCCUACAGUUCAUGUUUCAA